Long non-coding RNA from Uloborus diversus, 1066 nucleotides. RefSeq lists it as uncharacterized. The record is from RefSeq and is a predicted model, not a curated record. Lineage: Eukaryota; Metazoa; Arthropoda; Arachnida; Araneae; Uloboridae. The transcript is spliced from 4 exons.
CAUCUUGCGGGGGCGAGUUUUUGAGACGUUCAAUGCCAUGAAUAACAAGCAAGUUGUAAGCUGGAAAAUAUCAAAAGUUCAGUGCGUCCGUGCGCGGAAUAAACAAGUUCCAGCGGACCUUGGAAAUUUUAAAAGGUGGUCACUUAAAAUUUUUGGCCAUUUGAGUAGUCAGUGAGAUCGAAACAGCAUUGUGCCAGGAAGCUAGCAAAGGAAGCGUCGCUGACGGACAUCCCCAUGCGAAUCUUCCGUUUCCUCAUUCCGAAAAAAGACAGCAACUUCGGUCGGCAUUUCAGGUAUUAACGGAAGCUUAACGGCGGAAUACGUAUCCAUCCAAUCAAUCAUGAAGUUCGUUCAUGUCAUCCUCCUCGUUCUAAUAGUCUCGGGUGUCUUAUCCUCCUCAGUCUCUAACAAGGACGCCGACACGAUUGCAGAGACAUCCAUCAACCACUUAAGAUUUAAGCGACAGGGCGGUGGGACUGCUGGACAAGCGUCAGGAUUCUGCAACAUUUUCGGAUGCAACUGCACACCACCUAGAGGAGCUAGGUGCUGCAGAGGAUAUCGCUGGGAUCGAAGGAGCAGGAGGUGCCGCAGAAGGAGUUAGACGACGAGGCAAUCAUGUUCUGCAGACGAUUCGAUUGUACUAAUAAUAACCGAUUGCCUAAAAAUAAAGGCAUCCAACAAAUCAUGAAGUCUGUUCACGUCAUCUUCUUCGUUCUAAUCAUCUCAGGUGUCUUAUCCUCGGCAGCACCUAACAAGGACGACACCAUGAUCACAAAGGCAUCAGCCAACCUCUUAAGAUUUAAGCGACAGGGGUGCCCCAACUGCGGUGCUGCGACAGGAUUCUGCAACAUUUUCGGCUGCAACUGCACACCUCCUAGAGGAGCCAGGUGCUGCAGAGGAUAUCGCUGGGAUCAGAGGAGCAGGAGGUGCCGCCAAAGAGCCGGUUAAUCCAAGGUUAACGAAGCUAAUUUAAUUUCGUCUGUCUGAACAAAGAGGCAAAUGUGUUCUUUAGAUCUUUCGGUUGAACUGAUGUUUCGGAAAUAAAGAUUAUCUUUUGCAAUCGGAA